AGCGUAAUUCAAGAUCAAUGAUCUCAAUGUUUUUAACAUUUUUAAUGUUAAAAACAUUGAGAUCACUGAUCUUGAAUUAUGCUUAAUUGAU
Non-coding RNA from Paramuricea clavata, 91 nucleotides. The record is from the annotation of a GenBank genome assembly. NCBI's taxonomy places the organism in Eukaryota, Metazoa, Cnidaria, Anthozoa, Malacalcyonacea, Plexauridae.